UGGGUGUAGUCAUGAAUGAUAUUGAUCGUUGUUUGUAUUUUUUCUGCUCAGCAUUUAGGGUGUAGAAUAUCACGUGUAUAACCUGGCUCGAAAGUCUUUGAAUUAUUUUGGUACUCCAAUCCAAUUUCAAUGAACAAAUAAGAACGUCUUCUAUAAAACAGCUACUCCAAAACAGCUAAACCAGUUAGUACACAUACGAUCGCUAGACGACAAUGCUUCACCUAAUUUUACCCUAACAGGACCAGUAGUUUGCUCGAGUACAAGCUGCAACUGCACUAUGGCCAGUCUCAAUGCAUAUUUCAUAAGAGUGUCAUGCACAUUAAAUAGGGUGCCACAUAAGUGUCACAUAAGCAAAUUUGCUGACUUGGCAGGGUCAUUAAAUGAAGAAGUUUCAUCAGAUGAGAGAGAAGUUUCAUCCCUAUAAAAUUCAUAUGGCACGGUUACCUAGUUUAUAGUCUUGGUAACUGUGUCAUGAAACUAUGCAUUGAGACUUGGCUACGUAGCCAUCCAUCCACCGGGUCAACGGAGACACGGCCGCGCCCGCGCUCAUGAGCCCUCUUGGAAUCUACGCGCGCAGGUGCCGCAGUCCGCUCCGUGGGUGUGCGUUUUCUGUUCCGCCAGCACUCCUGCAACCUGCUCGAGCGGACGGGCGGCCCGCAGGCAGUGGCCGGUACCAACGUACCUACAAGCUGUCACGAACGAAUACGAGUCGGACUUAAGGUGCAGACGAAAAAACCAUCAGACCAAAUUUGAGGCUGAAAUUUUGCCUCUUUAGAAUUAGGUAUAGAUUUAGUAUUAGCUAUAGAUAUAGAUUAACUUUUUCAUCUUUGAUACUAUACCUCAUAGAUGUUUUGAUGCAAGAAUAAUAUUCUGAAGUAAACACCACAGAAACAUGCGAGGUAAUAUUCUAGUUGUUAUAUAAAGCGUUCGCGGCCCGCUUAGACACUCGGUGGCCUCUAAAAAAAAUAAAAAAAAUCGCACAUGAGUGUCGAAGCGGCCUCCAACAAAUGAGUUCCAAAUUCCAAAUAGAGUUGACAGCGAUUACACAUAUGACUCCGAACAACUUGCGAGGUGUGAGAGCACAACUGGAUCAAGUAAACCGAGAAAUGUAUGUCCGAGGUGUGAGAGCACAACUGGAUCAAGUAACCCGAGAAAUGUAUGUCCUUUGCACAUCAUCACAUCAUCACAAAGAUUAGUUAAGUAAUGCAGAUCCAUUCCCAUCAGAUAUGCUGACGAUGCUUUGUGUCCCAUGACUGAGUGGACGGAUCUUUUCCCCCGAUACACACAAGACACAAGAGAGCAACCCAUGCCAUUAUCUUUUUUUUUUUUACUAGAGGGAGGAUACAAUAGUUCCUAAAAAAAAGGGGGGGGG
This 1372-nucleotide long non-coding RNA is filed under the name Sorghum bicolor (sorghum). RNAcentral's name for it is "long non-coding RNA (SBIC_LNC002302)". The record is from RNAcentral. Lineage: Eukaryota; Viridiplantae; Streptophyta; Magnoliopsida; Poales; Poaceae.